GAACGCUAGCUACAGGCUUAACACAUGCAAGUCGAGGGGCAGCAUGGUCUUAGCUUGCUAAGGCCGAUGGCGACCGGCGCACGGGUGAGUAACACGUAUCCAACCUGCCGUCUACUCUUGGACAGCCUUCUGAAAGGAGGAUUAAUACAAGAUGGCAUCAUGAGUCCGCAUGUUCACAUGAUUAAAGGUAUUCCGGUAGACGAUGGGGAUGCGUUCCAUUAGAUAGUAGGCGGGGUAACGGCCCACCUAGUCUUCGAUGGAUAGGGGUUCUGAGAGGAAGGUCCCCCACAUUGGAACUGAGACACGGUCCAAACUCCUACGGGAGGCAGCAGUGAGGAAUAUUGGUCAAUGGGCGAGAGCCUGAACCAGCCAAGUAGCGUGAAGGAUGACUGCCCUAUGGGUUGUAAACUUCUUUUAUAAAGGAAUAAAGUCGGGUAUGGAUACCCGUUUGCAUGUACUUUAUGAAUAAGGAUCGGCUAACUCCGUGCCAGCAGCCGCGGUAAUACGGAGGAUCCGAGCGUUAUCCGGAUUUAUUGGGUUUAAAGGGAGCGUAGAUGGAUGUUUAAGUCAGUUGUGAAAGUUUGCGGCUCAACCGUAAAAUUGCAGUUGAUACUGGAUAUCUUGAGUGCAGUUGAGGCAGGCGGAAUUCGUGGUGUAGCGGUGAAAUGCUUAGAUAUCACGAAGAACUCCGAUUGCGAAGGCAGCCUGCUAAGCUGCAACUGACAUUGAGGCUCGAAAGUGUGGGUAUCAAACAGGAUUAGAUACCCUGGUAGUCCACACGGUAAACGAUGAAUACUCGCUGUUUGCGAUAUACUGCAAGCGGCCAAGCGAAAGCGUUAAGUAUUCCACCUGGGGAGUACGCCGGCAACGGUGAAACUCAAAGGAAUUGACGGGGGCCCGCACAAGCGGAGGAACAUGUGGUUUAAUUCGAUGAUACGCGAGGAACCUUACCCGGGCUUAAAUUGCAGAUGAAUUACGGUGAAAGCCGUAAGCCGCAAGGCAUCUGUGAAGGUGCUGCAUGGUUGUCGUCAGCUCGUGCCGUGAGGUGUCGGCUUAAGUGCCAUAACGAGCGCAACCCUUGUUGUCAGUUACUAACAGGUUCCGCUGAGGACUCUGACAAGACUGCCAUCGUAAGAUGUGAGGAAGGUGGGGAUGACGUCAAAUCAGCACGGCCCUUACGUCCGGGGCUACACACGUGUUACAAUGGGGGGUACAGAGGGCCGCUACCACGCGAGUGGAUGCCAAUCCCCAAAACCUCUCUCAGUUCGGACUGGAGUCUGCAACCCGACUCCACGAAGCUGGAUUCGCUAGUAAUCGCGCAUCAGCCACGGCGCGGUGAAUACGUUCCCGGGCCUUGUACACACCGCCCGUCAAGCCAUGGGAGCCGGGGGUACCUGAAGUGCGUAACCGCGAGGAGCGCCCUAGGGUAAAACUGGUGACUGGGGCUAA
RNAcentral lists this ribosomal RNA (1449 nucleotides) under uncultured organism. Its description in RNAcentral is "SSU rRNA". It matches the Rfam family "Bacterial small subunit ribosomal RNA". The record is from RNAcentral.